RNAcentral lists this ribosomal RNA (492 nucleotides) under uncultured bacterium. Its description in RNAcentral is "partial 16S ribosomal RNA". It matches the Rfam family "Bacterial small subunit ribosomal RNA", at positions 29 to 507 of the family's 1533-position model. The record is from RNAcentral.
AGUGAACGCUGGCGGUAGGCCUAACACAUGCAAGUCGAACGGCAGCACAGUAAGAGCUUGCUCUUACGGGUGGCGAGUGGCGGACGGGUGAGGAAUACAUCGGAAUCUACUUUUUCGUGGGGGAUAACGUAGGGAAACUUACGCUAAUACCGCAUACGACCUACGGGUGAAAGCAGGGGAUCUUCGGACCUUGCGCGAUUGAAUGAGCCGAUGUCGGAUUAGCUAGUUGGCGGGGUAAAGGCCCACCAAGGCGACGAUCCGUAGCUGGUCUGAGAGGAUGAUCAGCCACACUGGAACUGGGACACGGUCCAGACUCCUACGGGAGGCCGCAGUGUGGAAUAUUUGACAGUGGGCGCAAGCCUGAUCCAGCCAUACCGCGUGGGUGAAGAAGGCCUUCGGGUUGUAAAGCCCUUUUGUUGGGAGAGAAAAGCAGCAGGUUAAUACCCCGCUGUUCUGACGGUACCCAAAGAAUAAGCACCGGCUAACUUCGUG